Long non-coding RNA from Anastrepha obliqua, 575 nucleotides. RefSeq lists it as uncharacterized. NCBI's taxonomy places the organism in Eukaryota, Metazoa, Arthropoda, Insecta, Diptera, Tephritidae. The transcript has 3 exons. The record is from RefSeq and is a predicted model, not a curated record.
UUAAAGCUACAUCAGUACUAAAAAAACAAAAAACAAAAAAAGAAAACAUCACUAAAAAACACAAAACAAAUAUUUUUAAAAAUAUUGAGAGGCAAUAAAAAUUUCAACAAUCCAUCUCAACUAGUGCAGUCAUCAAAACGCCACAGAGAAAUGCACUAAAAAAGGCAACAAAUUUUACGAUCGACCGACCGCAAUGACAUUAAAAAGUCAAAACAACAACAAGAACAUCGGCGGCAAAGAGGCGUGUAGAGAAAAGUUUUUCAUAUUCUUCUUCUUUUUCCGAAAAGUAAAAUUAAGAACAAAAUCGAGCAUAUAUACAGGAGCGGUUAUGACAUUGGAACUUCUAUGAAUAAAAAUAUGUAUCGUUUUGCGAUUGAUGGCGACAGACAAAUCUGAAAUACCUCAAAUCAAAGAUAUUAUUUCCAUUUUAUGUGGAAUUUCCAUCAGUUGCGAAAAGUUUGGGUUUUCUGCUUCAAUUUAGAAAAACUGUAGCUGCAGGAACGAAUGAUUAGCAAUAGUUACGGAGUAUAUGGUAGAGUUUUUUACGGUCAAAUAUUUUCAGUUCUUUUUGAGAU